AGCUCCAAUAGCGUAUAUUUAAGUUGUUGCAGUUAAAAAGCUCGUAGUUGGAUUUCGGGCCCAGGUGACCGGUCCGCCGUUUCGGUGUGCACUGGUUAGCUCGGUCUUUCUGCCGGGGACGCGCUCCGUCUUGAUUGCCGGACGCGGAGUCGGCGAUGUUACUUUGAAAAAAUUAGAGUGUUCAAAGCAGGCUUACGCUCUGAAUACUAUAGCAUGGAAUAACACGAUAGGACUCCGAGCCUAUUUUGUUGGUCUUCGGGACCGGAGUAAUGAUUAAGAGGGACAGUUGGGGGCAUUCGUAUUACGGUGUCAGAGGUGAAAUUCUUGGAUUUCCGUAAGACGAACUUCUGCGAAAGCAUUUGCCAAGGAUGUUUUCAUUAAUCAAGAACGAAAGUACGCA
Molecule: ribosomal RNA, 400 nt
Filed under: phytoplankton environmental sample
Lineage: Eukaryota
Description: partial small subunit ribosomal RNA
Rfam family: Eukaryotic small subunit ribosomal RNA
Source: RNAcentral